This 314-nucleotide long non-coding RNA is filed under the name Theobroma cacao (cacao). Its description in RNAcentral is "long non-coding RNA (TCAC_LNC002095)". The record is from RNAcentral. Lineage: Eukaryota; Viridiplantae; Streptophyta; Magnoliopsida; Malvales; Malvaceae.
UGAGAGCAGAGCGAGCAUCACCUUCUUCAUAAACGCUGGUGCAGUAAUUGUGGAGCUCUAUCACGUGGUUGUGGUCCAUUUCAGCUACCUCAUUCAUUAUUCCUUUAAACCAAUCAAAGGAGCCUUGUUCCCUUGUCACCCAGUAAAAGUAUGCUCUCCUUGUCUUGAAGCUUUCUUUUCUUUUGGAAUUGGGAGGACUCGUUUUGUUAACGCCAUCCGCAUUUCCAUUCUCCAGGGCACUCUCUUCCUCCUCCCUGGCCCUGAUGUUGUUCACUAUGUCCUUGACAAUGCUGAUCAUUGGGGUUGCUCCAAUC